This 339-nucleotide ribosomal RNA is filed under the name uncultured Prevotella sp. Its description in RNAcentral is "partial 16S ribosomal RNA". Lineage: Bacteria; Pseudomonadati; Bacteroidota; Bacteroidia; Bacteroidales; Prevotellaceae. The record is from RNAcentral.
GGAGUCUGGACCGUAUCUCAGUUCCAAUGUGGGGGACCUUCCUCUCAGAACCCCUACCGAUCGUUGCCACGGUGGGCCGUUACCCCGCCGUCAAGCUAAUCGGACGCAUCCCCAUCCUCUGGCGUGAAACUUUAGUGCUCGUCAGAUGUCCUCAAAGCACAACAUAGGGUGUUAAUCCGCAUUUCUACGGGCUAUGCCCUACCAGGGGGAAGGUUGGAUACGCGUUACUCACCCGUGCGCCGGUCGCCAUCAGGAAUUGCAAGCAACUCCCAUGCUGCCCCUCGACUUGCAUGUGUUAAGCCUGUAGCUAGCGUUCAUCCUGAGCCAAGAUCAAACUCU